Molecule: ribosomal RNA, 209 nt
Filed under: uncultured bacterium
Lineage: Bacteria
Description: partial 16S ribosomal RNA
Rfam family: Bacterial small subunit ribosomal RNA
Source: RNAcentral
UUCGGAUUGCAGGCUGCAACUCGCCUGUAUGAAGUCGGAAUUGCUAGUAAUCGCGGAUCAGCAUGCCGCGGUGAAUACGUUCCCGGGCCUUGUACACACCGCCCGUCACACCAUGAGAGUCGGGAACACCCGAAGUCCGUAGUCUAACCGCAAGGAGGGCGCGGCCGAAGGUGGGCUUGAUAAUUGGGGUGAAGUCGUAACAAGGUAGC